AAGGGAGCUAUGCUCCCUGAUUUAGCGGCGGACGGGUGAGUAAUGCCUAGGAAUCUGCCUGGUAGUGGGGGAUAACGUUCCGAAAGGAACGCUAAUACCGCGUACGUCCUACGGGAGAAAGCAGGGGACCUUCGGGCCUUGCGCUAUCAGAUGAGCCUAGGUCGGAUUAGCUAGUUGGUGAGGUAAUGGCUCACCAAGGCGACGAUCCGUAACUGGUCUGAGAGGAUGAUCAGUCACACUGGAACUGAGACACGGUCCAGACUCCUACGGGAGGCAGCAGUGGGGAAUAUUGGACAAUGGGCGAAAGCCUGAUCCAGCCAUGCCGCGUGUGUGAAGAAGGUCUUCGGAUUGUAAAGCACUUUAAGUUGGGAGGAAGGGCUGCUGGUUAAUACCCUGCAGUUUUGACGUUACCAACAGAAUAAGCACCGGCUAACUUCGUGCCAGCAGCCGCGGUAAUACGAAGGGUGCAAGCGUUAAUCGGAAUUACUGGGCGUAAAGCGCGCGUAGGUGGUUCGUUAAGUUGGAUGUGAAAGCCCCGGGCUCAACCUGGGAACUGCAUCCAAAACUGGCGAGCUAGAGUACGGUAGAGGGUGGUGGAAUUUCCUGUGUAGCGGUGAAAUGCGUAGAUAUAGGAAGGAACACCAGUGGCGAAGGCGACCACCUGGACUGAUACUGACACUGAGGUGCGAAAGCGUGGGGGAGCAAACAGGAUUAGAUACCCUGGUAGUCCACGCCGUAAACGAUGUCAACUAGCCGUUGGAAUCCUUGAGAUUUUAGUGGCGCAGCUAACGCAUUAAGUUGACCGCCUGGGGAGUACGGCCGCAAGGUUAAAACUCAAAUGAAUUGACGGGGGCCCGCACAAGCGGU
RNAcentral lists this ribosomal RNA (867 nucleotides) under Pseudomonas sihuiensis. Its description in RNAcentral is "bacterial SSU rRNA". It matches the Rfam family "Bacterial small subunit ribosomal RNA", at positions 71 to 933 of the family's 1533-position model. Lineage: Bacteria; Pseudomonadati; Pseudomonadota; Gammaproteobacteria; Pseudomonadales; Pseudomonadaceae. The record is from RNAcentral.